RNAcentral lists this ribosomal RNA (530 nucleotides) under uncultured bacterium. RNAcentral describes it as "bacterial SSU rRNA". It matches the Rfam family "Bacterial small subunit ribosomal RNA", at positions 370 to 918 of the family's 1533-position model. The record is from RNAcentral.
AAUGGGGGAAACCCUGAUCUAGCCAUGCCGCGUGAGUGAUGAAAGCCCUAGGGUCGUAAAGCUCUUUCGCCAGGGAUGAUAAUGACAGUACCUGGUAAAGAAACCCCGGCUAACUCCGUGCCAGCAGCCGCGGUAAUACGGAGGGGGUUAGCGUUGUUCGGAAUUACUGGGCGUAAAGCGCGCGUAGGCGGAUUAGAAAGUUGGGGGUGAAAUCCCGGGGCUCAACCCCGGAACUGCCUCCAAAACUACUAGUCUAGAGUUCGAGAGAGGUGAGUGGAAUUCCGAGUGUAGAGGUGAAAUUCGUAGAUAUUCGGAGGAACACCAGUGGCGAAGGCGGCUCACUGGCUCGAUACUGACGCUGAGGUGCGAAAGUGUGGGGAGCAAACAGGAUUAGAUACCCUGGUAGUCCACACCGUAAACGAUGAAUGCCAGUCGUCGGGGCGCUUGCGCUUCGGUGACACACCUAACGGAUUAAGCAUUCCGCCUGGGGAGUACGGUCGCAAGAUUAAAACUCAAAUGAAUUGACGGGG